Molecule: small nucleolar RNA, 131 nt
Organism: Talpa occidentalis (Iberian mole)
Lineage: Eukaryota; Metazoa; Chordata; Mammalia; Eulipotyphla; Talpidae
Product: small nucleolar RNA SNORA41
Exons: 1
Source: RefSeq, a predicted model, not a curated record
UUCCACAGCUACUGGUCUGCAACUGUUCUUAUUGUAGCAGUUGCCGCAUUCCUCUGUGAGAAAGAAUGUUACAAGAUUAAACACCUCUUUCUUAGUGAAACAGAAAGUGGGCACAUCUGUGACAAACAAGA